AUUGAACGCUGGCGGAAUGCUUUACACAUGCAAGUCGAGCGGCAGCACGGGAGCAAUCCUGGUGGCGAGUGGCGAACGGGUGAGUAAUAUAUCGGAACGUGCCCAGUCGUGGGGGAUAACGUAGCGAAAGCUACGCUAAUACCGCAUACGAUCUAUGGAUGAAAGCGGGGGAUCGCAAGACCUCGCGCGAUUGGAGCGGCCGAUAUCAGAUUAGGUAGUUGGUGAGGUAAAGGCUCACCAAGCCGACGAUCUGUAGCUGGUCUGAGAGGACGACCAGCCACACUGGGACUGAGACACGGCCCAGACUCCUACGGGAGGCAGCAGUGGGGAAUUUUUGGACAAUGGGCGCAAGCCCUGAUCCAGCAAUGCCGCGUGCAGGAUGAAGG
Molecule: ribosomal RNA, 386 nt
Filed under: uncultured bacterium
Lineage: Bacteria
Description: bacterial SSU rRNA
Rfam family: Bacterial small subunit ribosomal RNA
Source: RNAcentral